AACUUUCAACAACGGAUCUCUUGGCUCUCGCAUCGAUGAAGAACGCAGCGAAAUGCGAUACGUAAUGUGAAUUGCAGAAUUCAGUGAAUCAUCGAAUCUUUGAACGCACCUUGCGCCCCUUGGCAUUCCGAGGGGCACACCCGUUUGAGUGUC
RNAcentral lists this ribosomal RNA (153 nucleotides) under Russula vinosa. Its description in RNAcentral is "5.8S ribosomal RNA". It matches the Rfam family "5.8S ribosomal RNA". From Rfam's summary of the family: 5.8S ribosomal RNA (5.8S rRNA) is a component of the large subunit of the eukaryotic ribosome. It is transcribed by RNA polymerase I as part of the 45S precursor that also contains 18S and 28S rRNA. The record is from RNAcentral. RNAcentral also lists the same sequence under 2 other names. Lineage: Eukaryota; Fungi; Basidiomycota; Agaricomycetes; Russulales; Russulaceae.